AUAUAUAUAUAUUUGUUGAAGUUGUGAGGUCGGCAUUUUCUUCCCAGGUUAGCAAGUUAAGGAGAAGAUUAAUAAAUGAAAAAUAGACAAGGUCGGACUAACAUUUCAGGUCGGAUAGGACAUGAGGUCAGAGGAUACACGAUUCAUAGCCAUCCAACUCUGUUGCAGAGCAACGCCCCUCAAGUAUCAGAGCAACCUGGAGAUAAUAGGAAAUAAUCAAAUAUCCAGGCAAGGUGGAUAAGCUCCGACGCGGUAUGCCGUCCAGCUCAAAGACAAGGUGACGAUCCAAUGUCGCGUCCAGCCAUGGGUGUUACCGGCGAAGCCCGAAACCGUGCGUUGCAACAAUAGAGAAAGCUCGGUCACCUCGAGGACGGGGAAGACAACCCAGCUGAAAAGAAAGACCCAGCUGGUUCAAGA
This 417-nucleotide long non-coding RNA is filed under the name Manihot esculenta (cassava). Its description in RNAcentral is "long non-coding RNA (MESC_LNC000483)". Lineage: Eukaryota; Viridiplantae; Streptophyta; Magnoliopsida; Malpighiales; Euphorbiaceae. The record is from RNAcentral.